AUUGAACGCUGGCGGCAGGCCUAACACAUGCAAGUCGAACGAGUGGCGGACGGGUGAGUAAUGCUUGGGAAACUGGCCGAUGGAGGGGGAUAACUACUGGAAACUGUAGCUAAUACCGCAUACCAUCGGAUGAGCCCAAGUGGGAUUAGCUAGUUGGUGGGGUAAAGGCUCACCAAGGCGACGAUCUCUAGCUGGUCUGAGAGGAUGACAAGCCACACUGGGACUGUGACACGGCCCAGAAUCCUACGGGAGGCAGCAGGGGGGAAUAUUUCCCAAGGGGUGCAACCCUGACGCAGCCAUGGCGCGUGUAUGAAGAAGGCCUUCGGGUUGUAAAGUUCUUUCAGCGGCGAGGCGUUACUCGCAGAAGAAGCACCGGCUAACUCCGUGCCAGCCGCCGCGGUAAUUC
Molecule: ribosomal RNA, 406 nt
Filed under: uncultured bacterium
Lineage: Bacteria
Description: partial 16S ribosomal RNA
Rfam family: Bacterial small subunit ribosomal RNA
Source: RNAcentral